AUUCACGGUGCCUCGGAUGGAGGCUCACAAGGGAGCUGCAAGCUCUUGCAACUCGUUCUGCCCGGUGAGAAGUGAUCCA
This 79-nucleotide microRNA precursor is filed under the name Fukomys damarensis (Damara mole-rat). RNAcentral describes it as "miRNA (ENSFDAG00000002155.1)". Lineage: Eukaryota; Metazoa; Chordata; Mammalia; Rodentia; Bathyergidae. The record is from RNAcentral.